This 253-nucleotide ribosomal RNA is filed under the name uncultured bacterium. RNAcentral describes it as "partial 16S ribosomal RNA". It matches the Rfam family "Bacterial small subunit ribosomal RNA", at positions 524 to 776 of the family's 1533-position model. The record is from RNAcentral.
UACGUAGGGUGCAAGCGUUAAUCGGAAUUACUGGGCGUAAAGCGUGCGCAGGCGGUUAUGCAAGACAGAUGUGAAAUCCCCGGGCUCAACCUGGGAACUGCAUUUGUGACUGCAUAGCUAGAGUGCGGCAGAGGGAGAUGGAAUUCCGCGUGUAGCAGUGAAAUGCGUAGAUAUGCGGAGGAACACCGAUGGCGAAGGCAAUCCCCUGGGCCUGCACUGACGCUCAUGCACGAAAGCGUGGGGAGCAAACAGG